AGUGAACGCUGGCGGUAGGCCUAACACAUGCAAGUCGAACGGCAGCACAGUAAGAGCUUGCUCUUACGGGUGGCGAGUGGCGGACGGGUGAGGAAUACAUCGGAAUCUACUUUUUCGUGGGGGAUAACGUAGGGAAACUUACGCUAAUACCGCAUACGACCUGCGGGUGAAAGUAGGGGAUCUUCGGACCUUGCGCGAUUGAAUGAGCCGAUGUCGGAUUAGCUAGUUGGCGGGGUAAAGGCCCACCAAGGCGACGAUCCGUAGCUGGUCUGAGAGGAUGAUCAGCCACACUGGAACUGAGACACGGUCCAGACUCCUACGGGAGGCAGCAGUGGGGAAUAUUGGACAAUGGGCGCAAGCCUGAUCCAGCCAUACCGCGUGGGUGAAGAAGGCCUUCGGGUUGUAAAGCCCUUUUGUUGGGAAAGAAAAGCAGCAGGUUAAUACCCCGCUGUUCUGACGGUACCCAAAGAAUAAGCACCGGCUAACUUCGUG
This 492-nucleotide ribosomal RNA is filed under the name uncultured bacterium. RNAcentral's name for it is "partial 16S ribosomal RNA". It matches the Rfam family "Bacterial small subunit ribosomal RNA", at positions 29 to 507 of the family's 1533-position model. The record is from RNAcentral.